AGUGAACGCUGGCGGUAGGCCUAACACAUGCAAGUCGAACGGCAGCACAGUAAGAGCUUGCUCUUACGGGUGGCGAGUGGCGGACGGGUGAGGAAUACAUCGGAAUCUACUUUUUCGGGGGGGAUAACGUAGGGAGACUUACGCUAAUACCGCAUACGACCUACGGGGGAAAGCAGGGGAUCUUCGGAGCUUGCGCGAAUGAAUGAGCCGAUGUCGGAUUAGCUAGUUGGCGGGGUAAAGGCCCACUAAGGCGACGAUCCGUAGCUGGUCUGAGAGGAUGAUCAGCCACACUGGAACUGAGACACGGUCCUGACUCCUACGGGAGGCCGCAGUGGCGAAUAUUGGACAAUGGGCGCAAGCCUGGUCCAGCCAUACCGCGUCGGUGAAGAAGGCCUUCCGGUUGUAAAGCCCUUUUGUUGGGAAAGAAACGCAGCAGGUUAAUACCCCGCUGUUCUGACGGUACCCAAAGAAUAAGCACCGGCUAACUUCGUG
This 492-nucleotide ribosomal RNA is filed under the name uncultured bacterium. Its description in RNAcentral is "partial 16S ribosomal RNA". It matches the Rfam family "Bacterial small subunit ribosomal RNA", at positions 29 to 507 of the family's 1533-position model. The record is from RNAcentral.